GAUGAAGAACGUAGCGAAAUGCGAUACGUAAUGUGAAUUGCAGAAUUCAGUGAAUCAUCGAAUCUUUGAACGCAUAUUGCGCUCUUUGGUAUUCCGAAGAGCAUGCUUGUUUGAGUAUCAGUAAACACCUCAAAGCUUUUGGAUUUUUUAAUCGAAAAGCUUUGGACUUGAGCAAUCCCAACACCAAUCUUUUUGAGAUCGGUGGCGGGUUGCUUGAAAUGCAGGUGCAGCUGGACAUUCUCCUGAGCUAAAAGCAUAUUCAUUUAGUCCCGUCAAACGGAUUAUUACUUUUGCUGCAGCUAACAUAAAGGGAGUUUGACCGUAUUGGCUGACUGAUGCAGGAUUUCACAAGGGUCGGCAACGAUUCUUGUUAAGCUCGAUCUCAAAUCAAGUAAGACUACCCGCUGAACUUAAGCAUAUCAAUAAGCGGAGGA
Molecule: unclassified non-coding RNA, 434 nt
Filed under: soil metagenome
Description: partial contains 5.8S ribosomal RNA, internal transcribed spacer 2, and large subunit ribosomal RNA
Rfam family: 5.8S ribosomal RNA (bases 1-120)
Source: RNAcentral